GGAUACAAAAAAAAAAAAAAGGCUGCGCCAGAUCUUGUCUGACCUCGGAAGCUAAGCAGGGUCGGGCCUGGUUAAUACAUGGAUGGGAGACCGCCUGGGAAUACCAGGUGCUGUAAGCU
RNAcentral lists this ribosomal RNA (119 nucleotides) under Sinocyclocheilus anshuiensis. Lineage: Eukaryota; Metazoa; Chordata; Actinopteri; Cypriniformes; Cyprinidae. The record is from RNAcentral.